Molecule: ribosomal RNA, 251 nt
Filed under: uncultured bacterium
Lineage: Bacteria
Description: partial 16S ribosomal RNA
Rfam family: Bacterial small subunit ribosomal RNA
Source: RNAcentral
UACGUAGGUGGCAAGCGUUGUCCGGAAUUAUUGGGCGUAAAGGGCUCGCAGGCGGUUUCUUAAGUCUGAUGUGAAAGCCCCCGGCUCAACCGGGGAGGGUCAUUGGAAACUGGGAAACUUGAGUGCAGAAGAGGAGAGUGGAAUUCCACGUGUAGCGGUGAAAUGCGUAGAGAUGUGGAGGAACACCAGUGGCGAAGGCGACUCUCUGGUCUGUAACUGACGCUGAGGAGCGAAAGCGUGGGGAGGCGAAC